UGUGUCACUCGAUGACCACUGU
Molecule: microRNA, 22 nt
Filed under: Pan troglodytes (chimpanzee)
Lineage: Eukaryota; Metazoa; Chordata; Mammalia; Primates; Hominidae
Also listed under: 2 other names
Description: ptr-miR-597
Gene: ptr-miR-597
Source: miRBase by way of RNAcentral